Molecule: ribosomal RNA, 253 nt
Filed under: uncultured bacterium
Lineage: Bacteria
Description: partial 16S ribosomal RNA
Rfam family: Bacterial small subunit ribosomal RNA
Source: RNAcentral
GACGUAGGGCGCGAGCGUUGUCCGGAUUUAUUGGGCGUAAAGAGCUCGUAGGCGGCUUGUCGCGUCGACUGUGAAAACCCGGGGCUCAACCCCGGGCCUGCAGUCGAUACGGGCGAGCUAGAGUUCGGCAGGGGAGACUGGAAUUCCUGGUGUAGCGGUGAAAUGCGCAGAUAUCAGGAGGAACACCGGUGGCGAAGGCGGGUCUCUGGGCAGUAACUGACGCUGAGGAGCGAAAGCGUGGGGAGCGAACAGG